UAGGGAAUAUUGGGCAAUGGAGGGAACUCUGACCCAGCCAUGCCGCGUGCAGGAUGAAGGCGUUAUGCGUUGUAAACUGCUUUUAUAUAGGAAGAAAUAGUCCUUGCGAGGAAAGUUGACGGUACUAUAUGAAUAAGCACCGGCUAACUCCGUGCCAGCAGCCGCGGUAAUACGGAGGGUGCAAGCGUUGUCCGGAUUUAUUGGGUUUAAAGGGUGCGUAGGCGGUUUAUUAAGUCAGUGGUGAAAGACGGUCGCUCAACGAUUGCAGUGCCAUUGAUACUGGUAGACUUGAGUAUGAUUGAGGUAGCUGGAAUGGAUAGUGUAGCGGUGAAAUGCAUAGAUAUUAUCCAGAACACCAAUUGCGUAGGCAAGUUACUAAGUCAUAACUGACGCUGAGGCACGAAAGUGUGGGUAUCAAACAGGAUUAGAUACCCGUGUAGUCCCUGAGCGGGCUGGCAAGGCG
This 463-nucleotide ribosomal RNA is filed under the name uncultured bacterium. Its description in RNAcentral is "bacterial SSU rRNA". It matches the Rfam family "Bacterial small subunit ribosomal RNA", at positions 355 to 822 of the family's 1533-position model. The record is from RNAcentral.